RNAcentral lists this transfer RNA (67 nucleotides) under Schistosoma mansoni. The record is from RNAcentral. Lineage: Eukaryota; Metazoa; Platyhelminthes; Trematoda; Strigeidida; Schistosomatidae.
CAGUGGCCGAGUGGAUAACGCGAUAGCGUUUGAAGCUGAAGGUACUGGGUUCGAGUCCCGGAGUGAA